UACAGAGGGGGCAAGCGUUGUUCGGAAUUACUGGGCGUAAAGGGCGCGUAGGUGGCCUUCUAAGUCGAACGUGAAAUCCCUGGGCUCAACCCAGGAACUGCGUCCGAGACUGGGAGGCUUGAAUCCGGGAGAGGGAUGCGGAAUUCCAGGUGUAGCGGUGAAAUGCGUAGAUAUCUGGAGGAACACCGGUGGCGAAGGCGGCAUCCUGGACCGGGAUUGACACUGAGGCGCGAAAGCGUGGGGAGCAAACAGG
This 253-nucleotide ribosomal RNA is filed under the name uncultured bacterium. RNAcentral's name for it is "partial 16S ribosomal RNA". It matches the Rfam family "Bacterial small subunit ribosomal RNA", at positions 524 to 776 of the family's 1533-position model. The record is from RNAcentral.